Molecule: unclassified non-coding RNA, 300 nt
Filed under: Zea mays
Lineage: Eukaryota; Viridiplantae; Streptophyta; Magnoliopsida; Poales; Poaceae
Description: misc RNA Zm00001eb011660
Source: RNAcentral
CAUACUCUGGUGCCAAAUAACCCCUGCAAGAAAAUUAUAUAUUGAGAAUUCAAUGCAAGUAUGUUAUAACAGACUAAGCAAUCUACAAUUAGUCGAUUGGCACACUGGUAAACUAGGUGCAAAAAUAACAAAACUGCUACACUUGGGUAAAAAUAAGAACAGAGCAAUGAAAAAAAUACACGAAAUACACAUAAUUUCAUUGCAUAAGCAACUGAAUACAGGAGAAUAUUUUCUUUUUGUGAGGAAGGUACAUAAAAAGAUCCAGAGAUGCACUAACAUUGUUCCUGCAACACGCGUGCU